RNAcentral lists this ribosomal RNA (261 nucleotides) under uncultured archaeon. RNAcentral's name for it is "partial 16S ribosomal RNA". It matches the Rfam family "Archaeal small subunit ribosomal RNA", at positions 748 to 1009 of the family's 1478-position model. The record is from RNAcentral.
CAGCCGUAAACUAUGCUCGCUAGGUGUCAGGCAUGGCGCGACCGUGUCUGGUGCCGCAGGGAAGCCGUGAAGCGAGCCACCUGGGAAGUACGGCCGCAAGGCUGAAACUUAAAGGAAUUGGCGGGGGAGCACAACAACGGGUGGAGCCUGCGGUUUAAUUGGACUCAACGCCGGACAACUCACCGGGGACGACAGCAAUAUGUAGGCCAGGCUGAAGACCCUGCAUGACUAGCUGAGAGGAGGUGCAUGGCGUAGACGUGU